This 269-nucleotide ribosomal RNA is filed under the name uncultured archaeon. Its description in RNAcentral is "partial 16S ribosomal RNA". It matches the Rfam family "Archaeal small subunit ribosomal RNA", at positions 477 to 747 of the family's 1478-position model. The record is from RNAcentral.
CAGCACCUCAAGUGGUCAGGAUGAUUAUUGGGCCUAAAGCAUCCGUAGCCGGCGCUGUAAGUUUUCGGUUAAAUCUGUACGCUCAACGUACAGGCUGCCGGGAAUACUGCAGCGCUAGGGAGUGGGAGAGGUAGACGGUACUCGGUAGGAAGGGGUAAAAUCCUUUGAUCUAUUGAUGACCACCUGUGGCGAAGGCGGUCUACCAGAACACGUCCGACGGUGAGGGAUGAAAGCUGGGGGAGCAAACCGGAUUAGAUACCCGGUAGUCC